AGGCCAGUAGCUCAACUGGUGGAGCGUCGGUCUCCAAAACCGAAGGCUGGGGGUUCGAGCCCCUCCUGGCCUGCCA
RNAcentral lists this transfer RNA (76 nucleotides) under candidate division BRC1 bacterium HGW-BRC1-1. RNAcentral describes it as "tRNA-Trp". It matches the Rfam family "tRNA". Rfam says of the family: Transfer RNA (tRNA) molecules are approximately 80 nucleotides in length. Their secondary structure includes four short double-helical elements and three loops (D, anti-codon, and T loops). The record is from RNAcentral. Lineage: Bacteria; Candidatus Sumerlaeota.